This 205-nucleotide unclassified non-coding RNA is filed under the name Hevea brasiliensis (rubber tree). Lineage: Eukaryota; Viridiplantae; Streptophyta; Magnoliopsida; Malpighiales; Euphorbiaceae. The record is from RNAcentral.
AGAACCUACACUCGUCGGAACAAGACAAAUACAACCAUUGAGCAUGAUAUAAUUGAUUAGCCAAAACCUCUAGAUUCAACUCUUGAACAUUCUGGGCCUAAAUAAUUAUGUGGUGAGCCUCUUCCUUCUGAUACUCCUUCUAAUACUUUUGUUGAUAACCUUGAUAUACCCAUUGCUCUCAAAAAAGGAGUUAGGACUUGCACUA